AUUUAUUACAAGGAGGGAAGGGCUGCCUAUUUCCUUAGACUGCAGGAAGAGAAAGUUCGACUGGAAUCGCAGAGGAAGGCCUGCGUGCCGAGUCUCCCUCAGAGCGCCUGGCAGAGAGGAGGCGCCCUCGUGGAAAAUCCAGGACUGCCCGUCCUUGAGUGGAAGUUCUGGAAGUUGAGGCCUCAACGACCUUUGAGGCAGAGGGUCCUGGUAUCUGUUUUAGACAAGGCCAGAGGUUUUGCCUGGCUGCUGGCAGCAGGGACACUGUGUCUGCAGCUAAGAGGGAUGGUGGGACCCUCGGCCUCCCUGCUCCUCUGCCUGUGCCUCUCACCCAGUGUGGGGAAAUUUGGACACAGACACACACACAGGGAGAACACCAUGUGAACAUGAAGAUGGCCACCUACAAGCCAAGGCGAGGCACUGAAACAGAUUCUUCUUCACAGACCUCAGAAGGAACCACUCCUGCCAGCACCUUGAUUUCAGAUUUCUACCCUCCAGAAUGCGCCUCCAUCGCUGCAGUGCCAGCACCUACGUGGGCUCUCCUUCUGAGUGGGUAAAGCCCUUCUGUGUUUUCAGAGGUGUGGAGGGAAAUGGUGAAGAGCCAAUGCUGGAGUCACGGUCACUGCCCGCAGCAGCUGAGACCACAGAUGCGGCUGCUGUCUGAGGGCUCAUAUCCUAGCCCAGUACUUCCUCAGCUUGUUCUGUCCAAAAGUCUUUCUGGAAAACCCUUAAACAUGUGAUCCUUGAGGCUGUUUUAGAGCUUUUAAACAUAGACGAAUUUAACCAGGAUGCUUUUUCUCCUCUGGACUUCUUUGUUUUAAAUUGGGCUCCUCCAGUAAAUCUAGCUCCUCAGUCAAGUCUUGGGUGAUGGGUUCUCCGUGCUUUUCAUUCUGCAGACUCUUCUGGAGGGUGGAGACCUUCUGAGAAUCGGCUCUUCCAUAAGGCGCUGUCCUCUCAUGCCCCACCUUUGACUCGCCGUUUGGUAGCCUUGCUCUGCUGGACCACGUCCCGGUUGGAGGCACGGAGCAGCAGAGGCCAGAGAGCAGGCUGCCUGGAUGCCCUUGCUCCUGGCUAGCAGACACAGCCUUGGACCACUGUAACCACAGGCCCUGUAGGACCAGCUCAAGCUGACCCAAUCUUAUCGCCAGAAGGUUUUUCAGGGGCAAGCCAAAAAUUUGCAAGUCAUAUAACCAGAGCAUGUGCGGAGGAGAAAAUCUUGAUCUGAAAUGACCCCGGAACCAAAGAUUCUCCACCACGGAACCAAAGGACUGGGAUGCGACGGGAACUUGAGAGUCGGACUCUUAUCAGAAGCGAGGAGUCCCUUGUCAGGGAAGAUCCGGUGUUAAAGCCUCUUCCACACCUUGCCAUAAAUGUUUAAAACCUUGCCAUAAACAUUUAAAGCCUUCCUAUAAAACGUUUAAAGCCCUCCAAUCGAAACUGCCCGCCAGCGCUUCCGUAUGCCAGCCUGUUCUCCCUAAUGUCUUCAAUUUUGCCCCAAACUCUGGAUCAGGGAGACAGAUUUGAGAAUGUUGCCUCCUGUCUC
Molecule: long non-coding RNA, 1543 nt
Filed under: Equus caballus (horse)
Lineage: Eukaryota; Metazoa; Chordata; Mammalia; Perissodactyla; Equidae
Description: lncRNA (ENSECAG00000046357.1)
Source: RNAcentral